Molecule: long non-coding RNA, 466 nt
Filed under: Ananas comosus (pineapple)
Lineage: Eukaryota; Viridiplantae; Streptophyta; Magnoliopsida; Poales; Bromeliaceae
Description: long non-coding RNA (ACOM_LNC009843)
Source: RNAcentral
UAGGAAUGUGCUUCUACUUUAGGAUAUUAUAUGUUUUUGCGUCUUUUAGUAAAUCACAGGAAAUAUAUCGUAAUCGACUCAUUAUGAUAUACCGUUUCGUACCAUAUUACGAAAGGAAGCGGACAAAGUAUCUUUUCAUCAUAUUUUCCAUGCAUGCAUAUAAUGUUAUCUCUUUGCAAUUCCAAACCAAGCCUUAACUCUUUAUUUCUUUAUUUCUUUUUUUUUUGAGCUAUUGAGUGGAUGACAUUAGACACCCUUUUUUUUUCGAGAGAGAUAAGUAGCACACUACCCGCUUCGUUUAUUUUAUUUAGAAAUAAACUUAGCUGGAAAUGUGAAUCAACUAGGAUUCGAACUUGGGAUCUCGGAUACCAACCACCAAAUCCUUUGCCACUUGCUCUAGGGACGGUCAGUGACAUUAAACAACCUAUAAAACCAACUUUGAAGCUGUUUUAAACAACUAUAUUUU